Molecule: long non-coding RNA, 1153 nt
Organism: Amphibalanus amphitrite
Lineage: Eukaryota; Metazoa; Arthropoda; Thecostraca; Balanomorpha; Balanidae
Exons: 2
Source: RefSeq, a predicted model, not a curated record
ACCGUGGUCAGAGCCGUUGCUUGGCCGGGACCAUUGGGCUCUGGCCUCGCGGCGGCUGUGACUUCGGCCAGUAAGGGGAGUAGCGCCCCCUCGGCCCCAGCUUGACUUGCGUUUGACCUCGGCUCUGAUUUGAUUGUCGGAUGGAUUUUCUGCAAGAUUGGCCCCGCAGGGGGCUGGCGGUGGCCUGGGUUCCUUGGGCCCGCGUCCUGCGGCGGCCCUGACCUCCGCCAGCAAGGGGAGUAGCGCCCCCUCGGCCCCAGCUUGACUCAUGCUCGAUUACAACCGGACUCGACCCUGGAUUGAUAGACGACAAGUCAGACCUUUCUUGGUUUCUUUUUUUCCCUUUGUGUCUGAUGAGUGUCUUUUUUGCGCCCGGUUCCGCUCCUUCCGGGUGUUUCUCCUCACUGCCAGCUUAUACUGCCUUGCCGUCUUCUCACGUGGUUUGCACUAAGUUUUUGCACUUGUCUGUUGCCCAGCUUUCUUGCGAGCAUUUUCAUUGGUUGCCUUUUCUGCAUUCUCACGCACCGCACGGACACACUCGGGUGAAGUGGAAUAGCGCCCCCCCCCCCCCUCAGCCCUAGAUACACAUAUGUGUAAUCUUGACCUUGCCCACAUUUGCUGGAUUUGAUGUUUGCACAAUGCCACUGCCAGUCGGCCGCGUUGCCGUCUUCUCACGCGAAUUUCUCCUGGCUGGUUUGCACUCAUUUGGUUGCCUACCUCAUCGGUUUCGCACGCUUCCCAGUUUUUUUUUAACACUUGCUCAUCUUCUCUGUGCACGAUUCCAUUGCAUAAUGCGAUUCCAGUCUCUAAUCGUGCCAUCUUCUCACGCGAAUUGCUCUUGGUCGUCUUGUACCCGUUUGUUGCCCAUAUUUCUUUUGCGGUCACUGGCAUUGGCUGCGUUUUCAGUCUUCUUGCGCUGUACCGGUCUUGCAGGCUGCUUGCCUCACCGGUUCCGCACGCUUCCCCAGUUUUCUUUUGUUUUUUUUUUACACUUGCUUAUCUUCCUUGUGCACGAUUCCAUUGCCAGUUUGCUGCAUUGCACUCUUUUCACGUGAAUUGCUCUUGGUUGUUUUGUACCUGUCUGUUGCCUUUUUUGCGGAUACUCGCGUUGAUUGCGUUUUCAGUUUUCCUACGCUGUACCGGUCUUGCAGGC